GACGAACGCUGGCGGCGUGCUUAACACAUGCAAGUCGAACGAUGAAGCCUAGCUUGCUAGGUGGAUUAGUGGCGAACGGGUGAGUAAUACGUGAGUAACCUACCUUUAACUCUGGGAUAAGCCCGGGAAACUGGGUCUAAUACCGGAUACGACCAAUCUCCGCAUGGGGUGUUGGUGGAAAGCGUUAUGUAGUGGUUAUAGAUGGGCUCACGGCCUAUCAGCUUGUUGGUGAGGUAACGGCUCACCAAGGCGACGACGGGUAGCCGGCCUGAGAGGGUGACCGGCCACACUGGGACUGAGACACGGCCCAGACUCCUACGGGAGGCAGCAGUGGGGAAUAUUGCACAAUGGGCGCAAGCCUGAUGCAGCGACGCCGCGUGAGGGAUGACGGCCUUCGGGUUGUAAACCUCUGUUAGCAGGGAAGAAGAGAGAUUGACGGUACCUGCAGAGAAAGCGCCGGCUAACUACGUGCCAGCAGCCGCGGUAAUACGUAGGGCGCGAGCGUUGUCCGGAAUUAUUGGGCGUAAAGAGCUUGUAGGCGGUUUGUCGCGUCUGCUGUGAAAGGCCGGAGCUUAACUCCCGUGUAUUGCAGUGGGUACGGGCAGACUAGAGUGCAGUAGGGGAGACUGGAAUUCCUGGUGUAGCGGUGGAAUGCGCAGAUAUCAGGAGGAACACCGAUGGCGAAGGCAGGUCUCUGGGCUGUAACUGACGCUGAGAAGCGAAAGCAUGGGGAGCGAACAGGAUUAGAUACCCUGGUAGUCCAUGCCGUAAACGUUGGGCACUAGGUGUGGGGAACAUUCCACGUUUUCCGCGCCGUAGCUAACGCAUUAAGUGCCCCGCCUGGGGAGUACGGCCGCAAGGCUAAAACUCAAAGAAAUUGACGGGGGCCCGCACAAGCGGCGGAGCAUGCGGAUUAAUUCGAUGCAACGCGAAGAACCUUACCAAGGCUUGACAUAUACUGGACCGCAUCAGAGAUGGUGUUUCCCUUCGGGGCUGGUAUACAGGUGGUGCAUGGUUGUCGUCAGCUCGUGUCGUGAGAUGUUGGGUUAAGUCCCGCAACGAGCGCAACCCUCGUUCUAUGUUGCCAGCACGUUAUGGUGGGGACUCAUAGGAGACUGCCGGGGUCAACUCGGAGGAAGGUGGGGAUGACGUCAAAUCAUCAUGCCCCUUAUGUCUUGGGCUUCACGCAUGCAACAAUGGCCGGUACAGAGGGUUGCGAUACUGUGAGGUGGAGCUAAUCCCUAAAAGCCGGUCUCAGUUCGGAUUGGGGUCUGCAACUCGACCCCAUGAAGUCGGAGUCGCUAGUAAUCGCAGAUCAGCAACGCUGCGGUGAAUACGUUCCCGGGCCU
Molecule: ribosomal RNA, 1349 nt
Filed under: uncultured bacterium
Lineage: Bacteria
Description: bacterial SSU rRNA
Rfam family: Bacterial small subunit ribosomal RNA
Source: RNAcentral